UCAGUUUAUUGUCAUGUUCCAAACACACACGAUGCCUGUUUUAACUAUAAACUCCCAACUCAGAAAACAAAUUCACUGAUCAGAUCAAUUCGAGAUGAAGUGCCCAAAGCUGAAUGCAAUACUGUGGGUGAGAUACGACUAAGACUUUGAAGAAUUGAAGCAUCACUCCUCUAUUCCAAAAUCCCCAAGUUAAAGAUCUCCUGCAUCUGUCGUUCUUUGUUUUAUCUGAUUCAUUAAUACUGCUUAAGGAAUGAAAUUUGUCAUCUUUUCCUGGCCUGGCCUGGCCUACAUGUGACUACAGACCCUCAGUAAAGUGGUUAAUUAAUAACUGCCAUCUGAAAUGACCUGACAAACAACGCUGUUCAAGGGCUGUUAAAUGAUGGAAUGCCAUGAAAGAGAAAAAGAAAUUCCCAGUUCAAUUGCCCAUGUUAAGAUCUAAUUCAAAUGUCUUUGUGAGAUGCUUCUGCACGUGAUAUUAUAACAAAAUCUGCAUUACUUACAUUACAAAAGGUAGUAGAAUUAUUGAAUCCUUACUCUGCAGAUAAAGGCCAUUCAGCCCAUUGAAUCCACACUGGCCCUCAAAGAGCAUCUCAUCCAGACCCACUCCA
This is a non-coding RNA of Chiloscyllium plagiosum (whitespotted bambooshark), 608 nucleotides long. NCBI's taxonomy places the organism in Eukaryota, Metazoa, Chordata, Chondrichthyes, Orectolobiformes, Hemiscylliidae. The record is from RefSeq and is a predicted model, not a curated record.